GACGAACCGUGCGAACGUUGUUCGGAUUCACUGGGCUUAAAGGGCGCGUAGGCGGUCGACCAAGUCUGGGGUGAAAUCUUUCGGCUUAACCGGAAAAGUGCCCCCGAUACUGGCCGGCUAGAGGGAGAUAGGGGCAUGUGGAACUUCCGGUGGAGCGGUGAAAUGCGUAGAGAUCCGGAGGAACACCAGAGGCGAAGGCGGCCUACUGGGCUGCACCUGACGCUGAGCCGCGAAAGCCAGGGGAGCGAACGGG
This 253-nucleotide ribosomal RNA is filed under the name uncultured bacterium. RNAcentral describes it as "partial 16S ribosomal RNA". It matches the Rfam family "Bacterial small subunit ribosomal RNA", at positions 524 to 776 of the family's 1533-position model. The record is from RNAcentral.